RNAcentral lists this long non-coding RNA (1191 nucleotides) under Nannospalax galili (Upper Galilee mountains blind mole rat). RNAcentral describes it as "lncRNA (ENSNGAG00000024585.1)". The record is from RNAcentral. Lineage: Eukaryota; Metazoa; Chordata; Mammalia; Rodentia; Spalacidae.
GGCCGCGCGUCCUGAACCAGUCAUUCCGGGCCUGCCAAUCACCCAGCGGGUAGCCAAUCAGCGGGGACCCUGGUGCUCGACUUCCUUGUAUUUGGGAAAGUGUGGUGGUGGGUGCGCGCUCGCGGCAGAGGGUAAACAUUCGACAGUCCCUGCUCUGAGAGGGAGGGACAGAGAGCGAACUGUCAGAUCCAAGCGAGAGCGGGCGCCCGAGCGCGGGAGAGAGAGGGAGGGAGAGGAAAAGUGAGCUAGGGAAGGAGACCAAGAACCGGGGCGCACAGCGAGCUCCCUCUGCAACUCAGCUCCCGCACGGCCAGCGCCAGCGCCAGCGCCCGCCGUCGGUGCACUCUGCGAGCCGUACACCGUGCCCACAGGAGUUGGUUGUGUAUCAAGGAACCCCUAUAUGCACACACACACAUCUCCAUCUCCACCUCCACCUCCACCAAUGCACUCUUCUUCCUCCUCCUUCUCCAGACAACUGCGGAGGAAAAAAUAAAACACCAACCCCAACCGUCAGCAACAAGAGGCAACCAAGAGCUCCAGCAAUAGCAACUUCAGAGAAAUGCAUCCUCGCAAGAAGUUUCGCUAGGACAGAGCAAAACUUGAAAGGAGAGGACCAGAGGGGGAGAGCAGGAGCCAGUCUCCCCACUCCGCAGACCCGAGCAGCCAGCACCACCACGCCUUCAAGGACGAAAAAAGUUUUACUAUGCUGAGGGAAACCGAGUGAAAUGUGUUCCUGAGGAGAGCCGAGAACCGACCAGCCUAGGCACCGGCCGAGUGCUGGCCACCCACAAUUUGGCCAAGGAAGAAAGGAGCAGCUCCAUCCUUUGUUGUCUCGCGUGAAACCUUCGCCUAGCAGGUGGACCGAGCCCCGCGCCGGGGCAGAGUCCGCGCCCGCCCGCCGAGGACAGAAGGAGGAGCGGGAGCCCGCACGCCCCGGGAGAGCGCCCGAAGUACAGGUUCCCGCCCCGCUGCGCGAGCCCCGCUGGAGCGAGCCCACUGCUCCGGGCCGGGGGGAAGGCCACGACCCCCCGUGAAGGGGCUGGCCACGGAGCUUGGCCCGAGAAGCGAUCUCCCCUCCCCAGGGCGCCGCUCCUGCUGCAGCUGCGGCUGCUGCCACUGACCAGGGCGGCCCGGCGACCCCCACGCCCUGCCGAGCGGCCUUGCAGCUGCAGCCCGGGGCCGCGGCGGCGG